RNAcentral lists this ribosomal RNA (201 nucleotides) under uncultured prokaryote. RNAcentral describes it as "partial 16S ribosomal RNA". It matches the Rfam family "Bacterial small subunit ribosomal RNA", at positions 524 to 724 of the family's 1533-position model. The record is from RNAcentral.
UACGGAGGGUGCUAGCGUUGUUCGGAAUCACUGGGCGUAAAGCGCGUGUAGGCGGCCUCCCAAGUCUGAUGUGAAAGCCCGGGGCUCACCCCCGGAAGUGCAUUGGAAACUGAGAGGCUCGAGUCCCGGAGAGGAGAGUGGAAUUCCUGGUGUAGCGGUGAAAUGCGUAGAUAUCAGGAGGAAUAUCGAUGGCGAAGGCAG